CCCUCUCCUCUCCCAAAGGUUGGGCCUUUUUCUUUGCUACUUGAGGCUGGUGACGUGUGUAUUUUCUCUUUCUGACGAUCUCUGCGCAUUGGGUUCCGUCAGCAGAGGGUGGCGGUAGCGAAGAGAGCAGCGGUGGCAGCACCGCUGCCUCUGGGACGCCUGCGACGGUUAGCACGCUGUCGCCGGACGCCAAGGAGAACGUUUCGCCGACCGUCUUCAACCCGAGCAGCAAUCUGUUCACCAUGGCCAUCGGUGCCGAGAUUCUCGACAAGCCCCAGCCCAACUCCCCCACCGAAUAGACGGGUUCACACCCACCGCUCUCAUUCUUUCUGUAUCCAUCCAUCGGUUUACCUCUCUCUGAUAACAGUAUGUCGCUUACUGACAGGCUUUAAAGCGGAGAAACCAUGAGGUCGCAUCUCUGAGGAUCAGGUGGAACAGCUACGUACGUAGCUAGCCCACUUUCCUGUGAUGCAGUCACCAUGGUAUGUGCCAUCUUCUUUCGUACGCCAAUGGGGGUUCUCUCAUGUGUAGCGUUUGAAUAAGUUAGAUCUGUGUGAAGGGCAACUCCCUGGUAUAUGUAUGUACUUUGGAUGCCGUGCAUGAAAGUAGGAUCUUGGUGUUUGAAUCUGUCUUUGCGAACAUCCCCAUCGUCUCUAAUGAGUUAGU
RNAcentral lists this long non-coding RNA (666 nucleotides) under Spirodela polyrhiza (greater duckweed). Its description in RNAcentral is "long non-coding RNA (SPOL_LNC002443)". Lineage: Eukaryota; Viridiplantae; Streptophyta; Magnoliopsida; Alismatales; Araceae. The record is from RNAcentral.